CCCGGGAGCGGGGAGCCACCAGG
RNAcentral lists this non-coding RNA (23 nucleotides) under Cricetulus griseus (Chinese hamster). The record is from RNAcentral. Lineage: Eukaryota; Metazoa; Chordata; Mammalia; Rodentia; Cricetidae.